RNAcentral lists this ribosomal RNA (752 nucleotides) under uncultured Serratia sp. Its description in RNAcentral is "partial 16S ribosomal RNA". Lineage: Bacteria; Pseudomonadati; Pseudomonadota; Gammaproteobacteria; Enterobacterales; Yersiniaceae. The record is from RNAcentral.
GAUUCUGGCUCAGAUUGAACGCUGGCGGCAGGCUUAACACAUGCAAGUCGAGCGGUAGCACAGGGGAGCUUGCUCCCCGGGUGACGAGCGGCGGACGGGUGAGUAAUGUCUGGGAAACUGCCUGAUGGAGGGGGAUAACUACUGGAAACGGUAGCUAAUACCGCAUAACGUCGGAGGACCAAAGAGGGGGACCUUCGGGCCUCUUGGCGUGGGAGUGGCCGAGGUGGGAUUAACUAGUAGGGGGGGGGGAUGGACUGGUGGGGAUGGAUACUUGGGGGGGAGGGGAGAGGGAGGGGGCGCAGGGAGGGGGGGAGGGGCGGCGAGGGUCAGGGGUAGGGGGGGGAGGGGGGAGGAGGAGGGAGAAGGGGAGGGGGGGGCGGGGGGGACGGAGGGGGGGGAGGGGGGGGAGAGAGGGGUAGUGAGGGAGGGUGGAGCGGGGGUGGAGGGAGAGGGGAAGGAGGGGGAGGGUAAGAGGGAGAAGAGCAGGAGAAGAGGGGGGGGGGGGGAGGGCGGAGGGAGGAGGGAGAGGGGGGAGAGGGGGGGAGGGGUGGAGGGGGAGGAGAGGGGGGCGGGGAGAUGGGGGGAGGAGGUAGAAGGAGGGGAGGGGAGGAGGAGGGAGGGAGAGGGGGAAGAGGAGGGGGAGGGGGGGAGGGGGGGAGGAGGGGGAGGAGAGCGGGGGAUGGGGGGAGGAGAGGGGAGGGGGGGGAGGGAGGAGGGGGGAGGGAUGGUGGAGCGGACAGGGGGGAGGGAGG